UGGGGAAUAUUGCACAAUGGGCGAAAGCCUGAUGCAGCAACGCCGCGUGAGUGAUGAAGGUCUUCGGAUUGUAAAGCUCUGUCUUUUGGGACGAUAAUUGACGGUACCAAAGGAGGAAGCCACGGCUAACUACGUGCCAGCAGCCGCGGUAAUACGUAGGUGGCGAGCGUUGUCCGGAUUUACUGGGCGUAAAGGGUGCGUAGGCGGAUGUUUAAGUGAGAUGUGAAAUACCCGGGCUUAACUUGGGUGCUGCAUUUCAAACUGGAUAUCUAGAGUGCAGGAGAGGAGAAUGGAAUUCCUAGUGUAGCGGUGAAAUGCGUAGAGAUUAGGAAGAACACCAGUGGCGAAGGCGAUUCUCUGGACUGUAACUGACGCUGAGGCACGAAAGCGUGGGUAGCAAACAGGAUUAGAUACCCUGGUAGUCCACGCCGUAAACGAUGAGUACUAGGUGUAGGAGGUAUCGACCCCUUCUGUGCCGCAGUAAACACAUUAAGUACUCCGCCUGGGGAGUACGACCGCAAGGUUGAAAC
RNAcentral lists this ribosomal RNA (530 nucleotides) under uncultured bacterium. RNAcentral describes it as "partial 16S ribosomal RNA". It matches the Rfam family "Bacterial small subunit ribosomal RNA", at positions 355 to 900 of the family's 1533-position model. The record is from RNAcentral.